AGGGAGAACAUUUAUUAAUGAAGAAUAACUCAAAGGAAAGGAAGGGGUCCUGGUCUCUCAUGAAUCCUCAUGGGAGCCUUGAGGAAGGAUGAAGAGAUGAGGAAACUGAGGCCAAAGGAUUCUGUUACUUGCCUGGCUUCACAGCUCACCUGGAGAUUCUGAACUGGCAUCUUCCUCUCUCUGCCAUCACCCCAGACCCUAUCCUCUUUCCUCUACACCAGUGGUUCUCAAUCAAGGGCGAUUUUGCCUUCCAGGGGACAUUUGACAACGUCUGGAGGUGUUUUUGGUUGUCACAAUUCUGUGUAUGUGUGUGGGUGGGCGGGGGGCAGGGGAUAAUGUUGGCAUCUAGUGAGUAGAUAACAGGGAUGCUGCUAAACCUACAAUGCUCAGAUGGCCCCGAACAAAGAAGUAUGUUGUCCAAAAUGUCAAUAGUGCAGAGGGUGAGAAGCCCUGGUCUAUACAGAGCUCAGCAGUCCAGAGCAAUUGCAACCUCUGGGAGUUGCCAAGA
RNAcentral lists this long non-coding RNA (508 nucleotides) under Pan troglodytes (chimpanzee). RNAcentral's name for it is "long non-coding RNA NONPTRT003618". The record is from RNAcentral. Lineage: Eukaryota; Metazoa; Chordata; Mammalia; Primates; Hominidae.